Haliaeetus leucocephalus (bald eagle) is the source of this 3740-nucleotide RNA transcript. It is a transcript of the gene named HMG-box transcription factor 1, with no coding region annotated. The record is from RefSeq and is a predicted model, not a curated record. The transcript is spliced from 12 exons. Lineage: Eukaryota; Metazoa; Chordata; Aves; Accipitriformes; Accipitridae.
UAAAGCUGGUUUUUUUUUCAUAACUGUUAUCAGAUGGCUUUUUAUGCAUUACAUGAAGGGAACUUGUAGGGUGAUAGGCUUACUGUUUCAUAUGAAAAUAUUGGCGUUUUUAGCUAUUGUUUGUAUUUCUCUAAUGUGGUGCAUGAUAGCUUACUUAGUGGACAUGCAUGUGGUAGACUUUCCAGAUUUUUUUACUUACUAAGCUGUGUUUCCUGCUCUUUUGUGAGGGACUCAUGAUUACUUUUUCAGUGACACUUCAUUGAAGUGAUCGUGUUAUGGUAGCUUUAAUUCAUCAUCAUGUGAAAAAAGCAGUAGAUAACCAAAUUAUUAAAGACUGGAUAACCUUGUUUUCCAGCUUUUAGAGGCAGUGGUUGCAUAGGAUAAUCACACAGUUCCCUGACUGCUGAAGAUGAUUUAAAAUAUUGGGGUUUUAUAUAAAUGUUACAGUACUGGGAUUUGAGGAAAUAACACUGCAGUGAAAUCUACUAGCAGAGGCUUCUUUUUCUUUCAAUUUACAACAUAGUUAAUGUUAGCAGUCAAAUGUGUUUGAGAGUAUACCUAGAGUUGAGAUAGCAAGGGAUGUGAAGGGCAGUGAAAAUGGCUUCUGCGGAUAUGCUGGUGGUGAAAGGGUGACUAGGGAAGACACGGGCCUGAUGCUAAAUGGCGUAGGAGACCUGUUCUCAAAAGGCUGAGGACAAUGUCCUCUUUGCUUUAGUCUUUAUUUGCAAGGCUUGUUUCCAGGUUCUUCAAGGCUCUGGGCCUAGAAACACGCGUCUGAUGGAGCGAGGUACUUCUUUGUCUCUGUCAGAGGAAGAGGAAGUUAGGGGCAGGCCAGUUCAGUGAGCCAGCCACGCACAAGUAGGUGAGACUGGGUGGGAUAUGUCAGGGGACGCUGGCCAGCGUCCUCGUGAGGAUGGUCUCCAAAAGGCAGGGGAUUUGAUGGCGGGAGGGCUCGCAAUAACUGGAAAAAAGAAAAUGUCACACCUGGCUUCAAGGAGGAGGAUGUGGGGAAAGUACAGGCAGGUCAGCCUAACCUUAGGCUUCAGGAAGAUUGUAGAGCAGAUCCUCCUGACAGCCAUGUCUGGGCUCUUAGAAGGCAAGAAGGUGAUGGGAAUAGCCAGGACGGAUUACCCAGAGGCAAAUCUUGUCUGACCCGUCUGACGGCCUUUUGUGACGGGAUGUGUGGCUCAGGGUACCAGUCAGAUACUUUGGAGCAUCCUAACAUGGUGUGGGAAGUGAAGACAAAUCAAAUGCCUAAUGCAGUUCAGAAACUCCUUCUGGUAGUGGACAAGAGAACUUCAGGGAUGAAUGAGUCACUGGAGUUGCUGAAGUGUAAUGAAAACUUGCCCUCUUCUCCUGGAUAUGCAUCUGGUGAUGAACACAUGGAACUUGAUGAUCUUCCUGAACUACAGGCUGUGCAGACGGAUUCUACCCCACCUGCACUUUUUCAGCUGGGUGCUGAUGUUUCACAUCAGGAAUGUUCAAGGCCCUCAUGGAACCAACAUACCUCAAACAGCAAUUCAGAAAGUGCUUAUUCUUGUGAGGAUGGGGUGAACUGGUUGACAGAAUUAGCAAAUAUAGCCACAAGUCCUCAGAGUCCUUUGAUGCAGUGCUCUUUUUAUAACAGAUCAUCUCCUGUUCACAUAAUAGCUACAAGCAAAAGUUUACAUUCCUAUGCACGUCCUCCACCAGGAUCCUCAAAGAAUGAUCCUAACUUCUCCAAGAAUGAUGUGGAUGAAACACCAGUCAGACAUGAAAGGGCGAAUAGUGAAUCAGAAUCUGGCAUUUUCUGCAUGUCGUCACUUUCAGAUGAUGAUGAUUUAGGAUGGUGCCAUUCCUGGCCCUCAACUGUUUGGCAUUGUUUUCUAAAAGGCUCUCGUUUGUGCUUUCAUAAAGGACGCAAUAAAGAAUGGCAGGAUGUCGAAGAUUUUGCAAGAUCUGAAAGCUGUGGAAAAGAGGAGAAUCUCCCAGUGAGUCCUUACAAGGGCUAUGGUUCUGAUGGUUUGAAGUUGAUUUCUCAUGAAGAAAGCAUUUCCUUUGGUGAGUCAGUGCUGAAGCUGACUUUUGAUCCUGGCACAGUGGAAGAUGGCUUGCUUACAGUAGAAUGCAGACUUGAUCAUCCUUUUUAUGUUAAAAAUAAAGGUUGGUCAUCUUUUUAUCCAAGCUUGACUGUGGUACAGCAUGGCAUUCCAUGCUGUGAAAUGCAUCUUGGAGAUCUGUGUCUACCUCCUGGACACCCUGAUGCCAUUAACUUUGAUGAUUCAGGUGUUUUUGAUACAUUUAAAAGUUAUGAUUUUACACCAAUGGAUUCCUCUGCAGUUUAUGUGCUAAGCAGCAUGGCUCGGCAGCGUCGCGCUUCUCUAUCUUGUGGAGGUUCAAACAAUCAAGAUGCUGAGAGAUCAGAAUGCAGUAGUAAAAACUGUGCGUCUACUGCAUCGCCACAUCUUUCCUCCAAUUCUUUGUACAGCAAAGCUGGCAAAAGCCACAGCUCAGGGACUGCAAGUACUGUGAGUGCCACUUCUCCAAACAAGUGCAAAAGACCAAUGAAUGCCUUCAUGCUUUUUGCCAAAAAAUACAGAGUUGAAUAUACUCAGAUGUAUCCAGGGAAAGACAACAGAGCCAUAAGUGUGAUACUCGGUGACAGGUGGAAGAAAAUGAAAAAUGAAGAAAGGCGGAUGUACACACUAGAAGCCAAGGCCUUGGCAGAAGAACAGAAGCGUUUAAAUCCUGACUGUUGGAAACGAAAACGAACAAAUUCUGGCUCACAACAGCAUUAAGCCAGAUUUCCCUGUUAACUCUGUAUUUACAAAAUGGCUGUUGCUUGAUGGCAAGAAGAUGCAAGGUCUUACUAUUUGUUGUGACUUUGUGUGACCAUAAAAUACUGGCACCAUCAAGUUGGAAAUGAUCUAAUAUGAGUGCAGAUUUGCUUUUUACAAUAGAAAAAAGUUUCCUCAGAUGAUCUUGCAUGUCUCUGUGGAAGGAAGGAACAAGAAAGGCCUUACAAAGCUCUAAGUAAUUGUUUCAUGAGCUUUCCCUCACUUCUUCCAUGUUUUGAGGAGCGAACAAGUUAACAUUUAAGUAAUCAGCAGCAGCAUGUUGCACAUGGCUUGAAAUGACAGCUCUGACGCAGAGACUCGGGCAACUGCUGUACUGGUAACCUUUAGAAAUGAGAAGAAUAGACUCCAGCUGCUGCAGACACUGAGAGUACAACUUACAGAAUGAAAACUGGGGCACUGGUGAACAACUGAGAUGCCUUUAGGUGAUUUCCUGGGUAAGGCUUUUGAACUGCCACUGUGCUUUGGGAAAUGCUGCGCUAACCCACAGACAAAGUGCGUUUGUGCGUCUUUGCUGUGUUUUUCUUGUAUGUUGUUGUAGGAUGUCACACAUAGUCUUGUGUAGGUAAGUUGCAGAAAUACAGACAUUUCAACGCUAAAAGGGGCAACUGCGAUUACGUACUUGUUUUUACUUAAUUUAACUUGCUUACAAUGCAGGGCCAUCUUUCAUUUGAGUCUAGUAAAUAGUAUUGUUGAAUGACAGCAUAUCUGUAAAAAUCUGUUUAGAUUCUGACUUAAUAGUUCAUUAAGUAGGCCAAGUUAGUUUGGGCAUACUUAACUAUGGCUUCUAAUGUAAUUGAUUUUCCUCUCCUUUUCCUCUUCUAUUAUUUCUUCAUGUAAUUAAUACAGUGAUCUGAGGGUUUCCUUCUAAAGCUCUUUGUUUAUAUUAUGUUCCAUUGGUGCUAU